GACGAACGCUGGCGGCAUGCCUAAUACAUGCAAGUUGAACGAUGAUAUUCUCUGCUUGCCGAGAAUUGAAGAGUAGCGAACGGGUGAGUAACACGUGGGGAACCUGCCCAUGAGAGGGGGAUAACAUUCGGAAACGGAUGCUAAUACCGCAUAAUGCUUUGGACCGCCUGGUCCAGAGACGAAAGACGGCUUUUGCUGUCACUCAUGGAUGGCCCCGCGCCGUAUUAGCUAGUUGGUGAGGUAAUGGCUCACCAAAGCUGUGAUACGUAGCCGACCUGAGAGGGUGAUCGGCCACACUGGGACUGAGACACGGCCCAGACUCCUACGGGAGGCAGCAGUAGGGAAUCUUCCACAAUGGGCGAAAGCCUGAUGGAGCAAUGCCGCGUGAAUGAAGAAGGUCUUCGGAUCGUAAAGUUCUGUUAUUAGAGAAGAACAAGUCAAGGAGUAACUGUCUUGACUUUGACGGUACCUAACCAGAAAGACACGGCUAACUACGUG
Molecule: ribosomal RNA, 498 nt
Filed under: uncultured bacterium
Lineage: Bacteria
Description: partial 16S ribosomal RNA
Rfam family: Bacterial small subunit ribosomal RNA
Source: RNAcentral